RNAcentral lists this unclassified non-coding RNA (403 nucleotides) under soil metagenome. RNAcentral describes it as "partial contains 5.8S ribosomal RNA, internal transcribed spacer 2, and large subunit ribosomal RNA". The stretch from base 1 to 121 matches the Rfam family "5.8S ribosomal RNA", at positions 35 to 154 of the family's 154-position model. The record is from RNAcentral.
GAUGAAGAACGUAGCGAAAUGCGAUAAGUAGUGUGAAUUGCAGAAUUCCGUGAAUCAUCGAAUCUUUGAACGCACCUUGCGCCCUUUGGCUAUUCCGAAGGGCAUGCCUGUUUGAGUAUCAUGAACACCUCAACUCUUCACGGCUUGCCGUGAUGAGUUUGGACUUUGGGGGUCUUGCUGGCCUACGAGCCAGCUCCUCUCAAAUGUAUUAGCUUGCCGGUGUUUGGUGGCAUCACAGGUGUGAUAACUAUCUACGCUUGUGGUUUUCCACUAGGUAACCUUCAGCAAUGGAGGUUCACCGGAGCUCACAAAUGUCUCUCCUUGCCAAGGACAGAUUUUGACCAUUUGAUCUCAAAUCAGGUAGGACUACCCGCUGAACUUAAGCAUAUCAAUAAGCGGAGGA